This 218-nucleotide ribosomal RNA is filed under the name Acinetobacter sp. ANC 5045. Its description in RNAcentral is "partial 23S ribosomal RNA". It matches the Rfam family "Bacterial large subunit ribosomal RNA", at positions 1 to 212 of the family's 2925-position model. Lineage: Bacteria; Pseudomonadati; Pseudomonadota; Gammaproteobacteria; Moraxellales; Moraxellaceae. The record is from RNAcentral.
GUUGUAUAGUCAAGUAAUUAAGUGCAUGUGGUGGAUGCCUUGGCAGUCAGAGGCGAAGAAAGACGUGAUAGCCUGCGAAAAGCUCCGGGGAGGCGGCAAAUAUCCUUUGAUCCGGAGAUUUCUGAAUGGGGAAACCCACCUACCUUAAGGUAGGUAUCGUAUGAUGAAUACAUAGUCAUACGAAGCGAACGCGGGGAAGUGAAACAUCUCAGUACCCG